This 253-nucleotide ribosomal RNA is filed under the name uncultured bacterium. RNAcentral describes it as "partial 16S ribosomal RNA". It matches the Rfam family "Bacterial small subunit ribosomal RNA", at positions 524 to 776 of the family's 1533-position model. The record is from RNAcentral.
GACAGAGGGGGCAAGCGUUGUCCGGAAUUACUGGGCGUAAAGCGCGCGCAGGCGGUCGGGUAUGUGCCUGGUGACAGGCCGGUGCUCAACACCGGGAGGUCUGGGUAGACAGCCUGACUGGCAGCAGGGAGAGGGCAGUGGAAUACCCGGUGGAGCGGUGAAAUGCGUAGAGAUCGGGUGGAACACCAGUGGUGAAGACGGCUGCCUGGCCCUGACUGGACGCUGAGGCGCGACAGCGUGGGGAGCGAACGGG